GCUAUUGAACUAGAUGGCUGAUCUGGUGUGGCUUGGCUUUGGGUAAGAAGGAUUGGCCUCUGUCUAGUGCCUCACUUUCCUUCUGCGGUUCUGUCUACUGUCCUGGUUUGGAAGAAGUCAAACCAAGCCAGAUCAGCCAUCUAGUUGAGUCUC
Molecule: microRNA precursor, 153 nt
Filed under: Oryza sativa (Asian cultivated rice)
Lineage: Eukaryota; Viridiplantae; Streptophyta; Magnoliopsida; Poales; Poaceae
Description: miR5508 stem-loop (osa-MIR5508)
Source: miRBase by way of RNAcentral